GCCCGGGUUGUUUUGUCAGAAGCCCGGGGUAUUUUGGAGUGUAAUUUUUUCAUAGUUAGAUGCCUGGCUGACAACUGUAUAAAACAAAAAGUACACACAAUAUUCGAAGCACAUAGUGAACACUGUGGGAAUUUACGACUGUGCGUGAAUCCCCCCCUGAUAUUGGUAUGAUCCAAGCUCAGGCACUAAGCGACUGAGCGAGGGGGCGGGGCAGCUGCUGCCCGUGAGUGCGCUGUUGGAGAGACGGAGCCAGCCAUACUAAGGAGAGCUUAAGUUUGACCAGUUCUUACCCUCCCCGACUAAAUCGGUUUCAGUUAUGUACUGAAAUAUAAGAAUGGACAUUCGAGGGUUCUUUUAAAGAAGAAACUCAGCACAAAGAGGGAGAGAGAGGAACAGAGAGGGAGAGAGAGGGAGAUGGAGAAUGAGGACAGAACAGAGAUGAACAAGAGCAGGUGAGACACACAUGUUAGUCAAAUGGUUGUUUACCAAAAGUAUCACCGUAUCAUAGGUACUCAUGUAUCUCGUACCUAGUGUUUCUUUUUAGGUUUGUUAUUUUUCAAAUUCUGUAUUUAUUAUGUUAUGCAGGCUUGUUUGCACAACAAGGCUAAAUAAUUAUAUAAACUUUUCUCAAUCUAAAUAGUGUACUUUGGUAAAAUUAAAAAAUAAAUGUAGUGCAAGUCUAUGAUGAUUUUUAGUGCUACUAUCAUCUAGUUCUGAUUCUGGUUCUAUCUUGGUUAAAUCCCAAGUAGUCCUGAUUUUGAACUGUUGUAGUCCUGUUUUAAUUCUGGAUCAGUUCUGGGUCUGGUUGAAUUGGGGUCUAGUCCUCGUGUCUUGAUACAGCCCCGACUUCGUUCUGUCUUGCUGCUCAAUUAAAAAACUAGUUUAAGGUGUCCUGCACAUGUGAUAUAUAUUUUUCCCUAUAUGAAGUCAUUCUAUUUUUGAACAAAACUCAAAACAGAGCCUAUUAAUCUUUCAGUCAUUUCUACCCCCCCCCAAGGGAAAAAAAUAAUAAUCCCACAUGCAUACUACCCUUUUGGGCUAAGCCCCGGGUGUUUCAAAUGUCUGGCUCCGCCUCUG
This is a long non-coding RNA of Astatotilapia calliptera (eastern happy), 1077 nucleotides long. The record is from Ensembl. Lineage: Eukaryota; Metazoa; Chordata; Actinopteri; Cichliformes; Cichlidae.